UAGAAAAGAGAACAAUGAGACCCCUUUUCUCUUGGAUAUACAUACACGGCGCAUCUACACUGUCGGGGUGGUUCUUCUUCUUCUCCAUUUUUCAUUUUUCUCAUACACUCCUCACUCUCUCAUCAAAAACUCAUCUCCACACUUUCCUCCCUCAAAUACACAGCAAUCUCAAUUUUUCAAUUUUCUUGUAAUUCGUUCAUCUGUGUCUCCAAAAACAUGGCGACGACUCUUUCUGCAACAAAGUUUUGCAACCUUUGCCUUUUAAUUCUACUAGAUCUGCUAAAAAGCCCAUUUUAAUCCAAAGCUCAUCUUUUCUUGGAUCAUCAUCCUCUUCUAAGCUUUCUCUCAAGAAGCCUUUUAGCCUCCUAAUUCUCAGCGUCGAUCCAAUGUAGCUGUUGUUGCUGUUUCUGAUGUUGUUAAGAAAAAGAAGUCCAAGUCCAAAUCCUCUCUCUCCAAUCUGACCUUUAUUUGGUCUUUGAUUGUUGUGUUCUGCAUUUAGGAAAACUUCAGCAAGGUAGGAAGAUUCAUGAAAUUGUGGAGCCUCUUCUGUUCUUCUUCCUGCAGCCUUAUAUCCAAGAGACUACUAUGUAGUGUUGUUUGUGCUCUAGCAAGGGCCAGUCUAUCUUCACGAUAGCAAUAAAGUUGUUGAAGUGCCUUUUAUUUAGAUCCCUCAACUUGUACUUUAACAUUUUUAACUUCCUUACUACUUUAAACAUGCUGCAGCCUUGCACUGGCUGGUCA
Nicotiana attenuata is the source of this 741-nucleotide long non-coding RNA. RefSeq lists it as uncharacterized. NCBI's taxonomy places the organism in Eukaryota, Viridiplantae, Streptophyta, Magnoliopsida, Solanales, Solanaceae. The transcript has 2 exons. The record is from RefSeq and is a predicted model, not a curated record.